UUGGGGUGUCGGUUAGACAUGUGGGACCCACGGGACCCAAAUAGUGACCUUUUGGACAAUGGGUGUCAUUGGUCAUGAUUCGACGUCGACAGCACGUACAUAACAGUUUUGAAGUUGGUUGGACGAGAUUUGAUCGCUUUGGACGCCCGGUUGGUCCAAAGGGCAAUUUCGUCAUUAGUUGCGAAAUCUUGGAUUUUGGAGUUUUGUGCUAAGUUGAGCUAUGUACUUUGCUUAGGUACUGUUGGAGUUUGAGUUGCUCGUUGAGGUUUGAGAUUGAGGAUUCGUUAAGUUGUUGAAGACGCAGCUUGGACGAGAGGGGAGGGGAAACUUGACCUUGAAAACGGCAAUGCAUAACAAUGAACAAAAAGGGAUCAAGUUUUUCUUCAAUAGUUGUCCUCGUUUGGAGACUCAUCUCAUACAAUCGAAAUAACCCUAAGAGAGGUUGAGAUGAAGGCUUUCAAGGGGACACCAAAUGAGCUCAACAAUUGGAUGCAAUCAGAAGAGUGGCCAAU
This is a non-coding RNA of Prunus avium (sweet cherry), 512 nucleotides long. Lineage: Eukaryota; Viridiplantae; Streptophyta; Magnoliopsida; Rosales; Rosaceae. The record is from RefSeq and is a predicted model, not a curated record.